CCGAACCUGGCAAACGCCUCCUUGGUCUUUUCUUUUCAAAACUCAAUUCUUUUUCAUUUAAAACCAUGAAAUCAUGUGAAAAACAUUUUAGAAAACACAUUUUACCCCUUCUAGAGAGAUCCAACACCCUAGAUUCCGCCGGAAGGCAAGAAUCCCGAUGCCGGAUUCUAGCCGGGUAUUACAAUAAUAUACAUUUGAACACUAUUAAGACGAUUAAUUAGUAUAUACAAAAAUAUAUAUUGAGUACAAAUCAAAGUAGCUAAAUACUCUUAGUUGACUUCUUUCUCCUUCUCCUUCCCCUUUGCCUUAGAGCUUUGGAAAGCUUAUCUCUCUACAGUUUCAGCAACCAAAACAACACAUUUAAAUAUAAUUAAACUCCAUUCAAGUCUUUUCUAAAUUUAUGCAAGACUAGGGAACAAUUCCUACUUACUCUCCACACAAAUUUCAAUUACCCAAAGUUGUUUCUUUUACAAUUGUUACACUAGACUUCCAAUUCUACCUUGCUUGAUCUUUAGCUUUCCCUAACCUUUUCUAUAUUUCUUCUCCAUCUCUAAAACACCCAUGGAAGAGAAGAAAGGAAUUGAAGGAAGGUUGGAAGUCUUAGUCUUUGCUAGCCAAAUUUCCCUCUCCUCCAAAAGCUUCAAUUUCCUUUCAAUUCUUCCUUCCUUGCUCUCUUAAUUGCUACCGCACCUUCACUUGCUCUCUUUCUCUUUGAUCUCCACUAAUUUUUGGGUGUUGAAUGAAGAAAAGUUUGCUGAAGACGUGAGGCUACGGCUGGCUGAAAUUUGAAGGUGAAAGAAGGAGAAGAGAAAGAAAUGUGGAGAAGAAAAAGGAAAUGAAGAUGGUGGAAUGGUGAUGUUCUCCACUAAGCAUUAAACUAAUACAUUCUCAUAUUUAGUUUCUUCUUUCUCUUCUUUUUAUAAUUAAUUAACAAUUUUAUUUAUAUUUAUAUACUAUAAAUUUUUGAAGUCUUAGUUUCACUAUUCUAAUUAUUCCUUAG
This 1000-nucleotide long non-coding RNA is filed under the name Manihot esculenta (cassava). Its description in RNAcentral is "long non-coding RNA (MESC_LNC010581)". The record is from RNAcentral. Lineage: Eukaryota; Viridiplantae; Streptophyta; Magnoliopsida; Malpighiales; Euphorbiaceae.